Molecule: transfer RNA, 35 nt
Filed under: Spondias mombin (yellow mombin)
Lineage: Eukaryota; Viridiplantae; Streptophyta; Magnoliopsida; Sapindales; Anacardiaceae
Description: partial tRNA-His
Source: RNAcentral
GAUUCACAAAUCCACUGCCUUGGCUACAUCCGCCC